Molecule: long non-coding RNA, 233 nt
Filed under: Musa acuminata (dwarf banana)
Lineage: Eukaryota; Viridiplantae; Streptophyta; Magnoliopsida; Zingiberales; Musaceae
Description: long non-coding RNA (MACU_LNC011655)
Source: RNAcentral
UUAUUCGACUUCAUAUCCAGAAACUUCGGAUUAUCGCUCUCGAACUGGACAUUCGAAUUAUCCCCUUGAUGAACCGCUUGCAGCUGACUUGUGUACUGCUUAUUUAGACCCAGAGCUUAUCCUUACACUGAUCAAGACUCUCCACUUGAAUAACAACCCGGACCACCCCUCUUUCAUGCUUGGGGUUGGACCACACCUCUUAUUGACGCGCCGACCUAUACUGCUUGCUUACU